This 740-nucleotide ribosomal RNA is filed under the name uncultured bacterium. RNAcentral describes it as "bacterial SSU rRNA". It matches the Rfam family "Bacterial small subunit ribosomal RNA", at positions 28 to 796 of the family's 1533-position model. The record is from RNAcentral.
GAUGAACGCUGGCGGCGUGCCUWACACAUGCAAGUCGAGCGAUUUACUUCGGUAAAGAGCGGCGGACGGGUGAGUAACGCGUGGGUAACCURCCUCAUACACAUGGAUAACAUACCGAAAGGUAUGCUAAUACAGGAUAAYAUAAGRGAUUCGCAUGGAUUUCUUAUCAAAGCUCCGGCGGUAUGAGAUGGACCCGCGUCUGAUUAGCUAGUUGGUAAGGUAAUGGCUUACCAAGGCRACGAUCAGUAGCCGACCUGAGAGGGUGAUCGGCCACAUUGGAACUGAGACACGGUCCAAACUCCUACGGGAGGCAGCAGUGGGGAAUAUUGCACAAUGGGCGAAAGCCUGAUGCAGCAACGCCGCGUGAGUGAUGAAGGCCUUCGGGUCGUAAAACUCUGUCCUCAAGGAAGAUAAUGACGGUACUUGAGGAGGAAGCCCCGGCUAACUACGUGCCAGCAGCCGCGGUAAUACGUAGGGGGCUAGCGUUAUCCGGAUUUACUGGGCGUAAAGGGUGCGUAGGUGGUUUCUUAAGUCAGGAGUGAAAGGCUACGGCUCAACCGUAGUAAGCUCUUGAAACUGGGAAACUUGAGUGCAGGAGAGGAAAGUGGAAUUCCUAGUGUAGCGGUGAAAUGCGUAGAUAUUAGGAGGAACACCAGUAGCGAAGGCGGCUUUCUGGACUGUAACUGACACUGAGGCACGAAAGCGUGGGGAGCAAACAGGAUUAGAUACCCUGGUAGUCC